AAUUAAUCUCAUCAAUAUUCAAGAACCCUUAAACGAUACUGAGUAAUUCUAUACCACUAUAGAAGAUUUUAUGUUAAAACUAGUAACAAGAAUAAGUACUUCUUAAAUAAUGCAAGUGUAAAUCAGACAGAACAUCUCACUGACAAUUAGCACCAAUGAAAUAAAAGUAGCAACUCAACAAGAAAAUUCUACUAGAUUAUGUGUUAACCUAACACAAGAGCAUUCCAAAAAAGAUUAAAAGAAAAAGAAGGAACUCGGCAAACUUUAACCUCGCCUGUUUACCAAAAACAUCGCCUCUUGAAUCAAAUAUAAGAGGUCCAGCCUGCCCAGUGACUCUGUUCAACGGCCGCGGUAUCCUAACCGUGCGAAGGUAGCGUAAUCACUUGUUCUUUAAAUGAGGACUAGUAUGAAUGGCAUCACGAAGGUUUUACUGUCUCCUUUUUCUAAUCAGUGAAACUAAUCUUCCCGUGAAGAAGCGGGGAUAAAUUUAUAAGACGAGAAGACCCUAUGGAGCUUUAAACCAUGUAACACUUGCACCAACUCGAUGUAAAUUCCAGAAAAAUCUAUUUUACUAAUGCAAGAACAUUACCAGUUUUAGGUUGGGGUGACCGCGGAGCAAAAAACAACCUCCACAUUGAAAGGACAACUCUCCUGAGCAAAGAAUAACAUCUCCAUGCACCAUUAAAAUGACAUCAAUUGACCCAAUAUUUUGAUCAACGAACCAAGUUACCCUAGGGAUAACAGCGCAAUCCACUUCAAGAGUCCCUAUCGACAAGUGGGUUUACGACCUCGAUGUUGGAUCAGGGUAUCCCGGUGGUGCAGCAGCUACCAAAGGUUCGUUUGUU
Molecule: ribosomal RNA, 845 nt
Filed under: Sachatamia punctulata
Lineage: Eukaryota; Metazoa; Chordata; Amphibia; Anura; Centrolenidae
Description: partial 16S ribosomal RNA
Rfam family: Bacterial large subunit ribosomal RNA
Source: RNAcentral